AAAAAGUUUGCAAUUUAAACACCCACAGCCCAACAUUUGCCUAGCCCAAAAACCAAUACCCAAAACCCAUACAACAUAACCCAAACAAACUAAACCCAAUCAGCCCCAACAAACUAAACCCAAUUAGCCCAUUUACAAAUACAACCCAACAAAUUCAUCAAACCCCAUACCAGCAGACCCAAAAUUAAACAGACAGAGCCCAAUAACCCAAUAGGCCCAACUUCUUUAAAAAUUAUCUGCCUAGGGUUUCAGAAACUGAAACCCUAGGCGCCGCAUUUGAUGACUUUUGGCCUUCUGCCAGCGCCGCCGUUGCCUCGCCAGACGUCCCAUCGUCCACUUGUGCCGCGCACGUCCUAUCGCCACCUGUAAACACGCAAAGAGAGAAAUGAACAAGACAGAAGCAGUAACAAGAAGGCUUUAAAAAGCCGAAACAAAUGUAAAAAAAGAGGGGGCUCGUUUUUUUUGUAUUUUUCUAUGAGAUUUUGGGGGUUCUCUUCUUCCGUUUUUGUAACAAAAAAAUAGAUAUCAAUAAAAAAUUUUUAAGUUUCAAGGUGAUUUUCGUUUUGCAUUUCUUUUCUUUUUUCUUUUUAAUCUUUUUGUUGUUAUUUAUUUUCUAUGAAAACCGUUUACAUUUAAAAAAUAUAUAUAAAGAGGAAAGUAUAAAAUUUUUUUUACCUUUUUUCUGAUUUUU
This 691-nucleotide long non-coding RNA is filed under the name Gossypium barbadense (sea-island cotton). Its description in RNAcentral is "long non-coding RNA (GBAR_LNC017706)". The record is from RNAcentral. Lineage: Eukaryota; Viridiplantae; Streptophyta; Magnoliopsida; Malvales; Malvaceae.